GCAGAGCUGUGUGAUUGUGUGUGUCUGCGGAUCCGCAGCUCUAACUGCGGACAGUUUGCUAAGCCCGUUAGUGCCCUCGGUCGAGACUCACGCCACCGUCAUGUCCCGUUACCUGCGCCCCCCCAACACGUCUCUGUUUGUCAGGAACGUGGCGGACAAUACCAGGUCUGAAGAUUUACGGCGUGAAUUUGGUCGUUAUGGUCCUAUAGUUGAUGUGUAUGUUCCGCUUGAUUUCUACACUUGCCGUCCAAGAGGAUUUGCCUAUGUUCAAUUUGAGGAUGUUUGUGAUGCUGAAGAUGCUUUGCAUUUGGACAGAAAAUAGAUUUGUGGACGUCAAAUUGAAAUACACUUUGCACAGGGGGAUCGGAAGACACCAAAUCAGAUGAAAGCCAAGGAAGGAAGGAAUAUGUACAGUUCUUCCCGUUAUGAUGAUUAUGAUCGAUACAGACGUUCUAGAAGCUGAAGUUAUGAAAGAAGGAGAUCAAGAAGUCGGUCUUUUGAUUACAACUAUAGGAGAUCUUAUAGUCCUAGAAACAGUGGACCGACUGGAAGACCACGGCGUAGCAGAAGCCAUUCCGACAAUGAUAGAUUCAAACAUCAAAAUCGAUCUUUUUCAAGAUCUAAAUCCAAUUCAAGAUCACGGUCCAAGUCCCAGCCCAAGAAAGAAAUGAAGGCUAAAUCACGUUCUAGGUCUGCAUCUCACACCAAAACUAGAGGCACCUCUAAAACAGAUUCCAAAACACAUUAUAAGUCUGGCUCAAGACAUGAAAAGGAAUCAAGGAAAAAAGAACCACCUAGAUCCAAAUCUCAGUCAAGAUCACAGUCUAGGUCUAGGUCAAAAUCUAGAUCGAGGUCUUGGACUAGUCUUAAGUCCAGUGGCCACUGAUAGUAUAAACCAUGAUAAUUUUUAGGCAUGUAUCAUUCAUUUACUCAUAGUUUGGUUUACUUAAAUUAUCAGGAAUACAAUGUUGCAAUGAUGCUUAAAAAACAUUUGUUAGUUUUCCCUGUACCAGGCAAUGGUUAUAAUUAAAAUAUGCUGUUGA
Molecule: RNA transcript, 1043 nt
Organism: Lemur catta (Ring-tailed lemur)
Lineage: Eukaryota; Metazoa; Chordata; Mammalia; Primates; Lemuridae
Gene name: serine/arginine-rich splicing factor 10-like
Exons: 1
Source: RefSeq, a predicted model, not a curated record